GCCAGACUCCUACGGGAGGCAGCAGUGGGGAAUAUUGGACAAUGGGGGGAACCCUGAUCCAGCGACGCCGCGUGAGUGAAGAAGUAUUUCGGUAUGUAAAGCUCUAUCAGCAGGGAAGAAAGAAAUGACGGUACCUGACUAAGAAGCCCCGGCUAACUACGUGCCAGCAGCCGCGGUAAUACGUAGGGGGCAAGCGUUAUCCGGAUUUACUGGGUGUAAAGGGAGCGUAGACGGCAUGGCAAGUCAGAUGUGAAAGCCCGGGGCUCAACCCCGGGACUGCAUUUGAAACUGUCAGGCUGGAGUGCAGGAGAGGUAAGUGGAAUUCCUAGUGUAGCGGUGAAAUGCGUAGAUAUUAGGAGGAACACCAGUGGCGAAGGCGGCUUACUGGACUGUAGCUGACGUUGAGGCUCGAAAGCGUGGGGAGCAAACAGGAUUAGAUACCCGUGUAU
Molecule: ribosomal RNA, 449 nt
Filed under: uncultured bacterium
Lineage: Bacteria
Description: bacterial SSU rRNA
Rfam family: Bacterial small subunit ribosomal RNA
Source: RNAcentral